This 89-nucleotide transfer RNA is filed under the name Rickettsiales bacterium. RNAcentral describes it as "tRNA-Ser". It matches the Rfam family "tRNA". Rfam says of the family: Transfer RNA (tRNA) molecules are approximately 80 nucleotides in length. Their secondary structure includes four short double-helical elements and three loops (D, anti-codon, and T loops). Lineage: Bacteria; Pseudomonadati; Pseudomonadota; Alphaproteobacteria; Rickettsiales. The record is from RNAcentral.
GGAGCGUUGCCAGAGCGGUAAUGGAGCGGAUUGCUAAUCCGUCACGGCAGUAAUGUCGUGCAGAGGUUCGAAUCCUCUACGCUCCGCCA